Molecule: unclassified non-coding RNA, 240 nt
Filed under: soil metagenome
Description: partial contains 5.8S ribosomal RNA, internal transcribed spacer 2, and large subunit ribosomal RNA
Source: RNAcentral
AACCUUAUGGACCUGCGGGCGUAUACCUGCGGAAGGAUCAUUACAGAGUUGCAAGACUCCCUAAACCAUUGUGAACCUACCUUCUACCGUUGCUUCGGCGGGCGGGCCCAGCGCCCCCCCCGGCCCCCCGCGGGCGCCCGCCGGAGGAUACCCAAACUCUUGACAUUAGUGGCCUCUCUGAGUAUUCUUUACUGAAUAAGUCAAAACUUUCAACAAUGGAUCUCAGAUCGGAAGAGCACA